UACGUAGGUGGCGAGCGUUGUCCGGAUUUACUGGGCGUAAAGGGAGCGUAGGCGGGCUUUUAAGUGGGAUGUGAAAUACUCGGGCUCAACUUGAGUGCUGCAUUUCAAACUGGAAGUCUAGAGUGCAGGAGAGGAGAAUGGAAUUCCUAGUGUAGCGGUGAAAUGCGUAGAGAUUAGGAAGAACACCAGUGGCGAAGGCGAUUCUCUGGACUGUAACUGACGCUGAGGCUCGAAAGCGUGGGGAGCAAACAGG
Molecule: ribosomal RNA, 253 nt
Filed under: uncultured bacterium
Lineage: Bacteria
Description: partial 16S ribosomal RNA
Rfam family: Bacterial small subunit ribosomal RNA
Source: RNAcentral